Molecule: long non-coding RNA, 3672 nt
Filed under: Olea europaea (common olive)
Lineage: Eukaryota; Viridiplantae; Streptophyta; Magnoliopsida; Lamiales; Oleaceae
Description: long non-coding RNA (OEUR_LNC005141)
Source: RNAcentral
GCAAUUUGAAUGGCUUGAAUCAUGCCUUGAUAAAUACAAUAUUUACACUCUUUCCUGUCAAUUUUUGCUUAUAAAAACUGAUUUCCACGGGCCAUUGCAGUUCUACGUUGAAACUGUGAAGCAAAUGGCACUUCGCCAGUUGGUUGCUGGGUCACCUUUGCGAACAUUAUGCCUGCUAAUUGCUGGUCAACCAGCUGAUGUCUUCUCAGCAGAUUCAACUGCUGAUAGUAGUAUGGCUGGUGCUGUAAAUAUGCCUCACACUGAUGCUAAUGACGAAGCUGAUAAUAGCAUUAGUUCUGGGGUUGAUGGUUUAAGCAGGAAGUCGGAGAAAGUUGAGAAAAUGGUAGUGGGGAAUGUGGAAGAGAGUAUAAGUACAUUAGAGUCAGCAAAGUCAUUUGAGUUUGAUCGUUUGAUACACAAAUCAGAGAAUGGAAAUGGAGAGGCUGAGGUAUUGUCCAAUACCGAGGUCAUGAGUAAGAAUGAUGGUGGAGUGGGGCCUUCUGGAGUUAAAGAGAUGGAUUGGAGUGCAUUUCAUGCUGAUUUGGCUCAGAAUAAUAGUCAAGGGUUUGGAUCCUAUUCAGAUUUUUUCACUGAGUUAGGAGGGGAUAUUGCUGCUGAUGCAUUUGGAAAUGUGGGGAAUAGUUCACAAUUUGAGUCCAAGGUUGCUUCUGGGAAUGAAGCAUAUGGAUCUGCACAUGUGGAGAAUUCAACUAACUACUUGCGAAAUCAAGAAGGAUAUAAUUAUGGUACAGCUUCAGAUCAGUGUACAACUGCAGACCAGAGUACAGCCGGGCAGGAUAUGAAUAGCAGUCAGUAUUGGGAGAAUCUAUAUCCUGGUUGGAAGUAUGAUCAAAAUACUGGUCAGUGGUAUGAGGUGGAUGGUUACGAUGCAGGUGCGAGCAUGCAAGCAAAUGUUGACACUAAUAUGCCUUCUGAUGGGGGGCAAUCUCACGGUAAGGCAGAUGUCUCUUACUUGCAGCAAUCUGCUCAGUCGAUCACUGAGACUGUAGCUGAGACUGCUACAAUGGAGACGUUUACUAACUGGAAUCCGGUAUCACAGGUGAGUGAUAUUACGGAAGGCACAGACAAUUGGAAUCAAGUUUCACAAGUGAAUAACGGUGCUCCUGAAGCUGCGUCUGAUUGGAAUCAGGCUUCUCAAGCAAACAAUGGGUAUCCACAGCAUAUGGUGUUUUAUCCUCAAUACCCUGGUUGGUAUUAUGAUACUAUUGCCCAGGAUUGGCGCAGUUUGGAUUCGUAUGCUCCAUCUGUUCAGUCUGCUCAAGCUCUAGACCAGGUGAAUCAGAAUGGAUCUCAUAAUAAUAAUCAGAAGGCAUACAGUGGAUACAAUCAAGUUAAUAACUAUGAAUCCCAGGGUUUUAGCAGCCAAGGCCAAGAUCACAACUGGGGUGGGUCCUUCAGUGAUUACAAUAAACAGAAAUCAGCCAUGUGGCAACCUGAAACCGUUGCCAAGAGUGACUCUACUUCACAAUAUAAUAGGAACCAACAAUUGGAGACUCAGCAUAGGCAGGACUUCAUCACGAGCAGUCACGGUAGCCAACAAACUGUUGAGUUUGAGAGAGCAAGUUCAUAUUUUGGGAAUGCAAGUCAAAAUCAGAAUGACUUCUCUACGAGUGCUGUGUCACAAGGUUUUGUUCCUGGUGGGAACUUUAGCGAGCAGUUUAACGAGCCGAGAAACAAUCAAAAUGAGCACAAGCAUGCCUUAAAUGCCUACUAUGGCAAUCAGAGUUCUCUUAACUUUUCACAGCAACAGUUGCAGAGUGCCCAUCAAUUCUCGUCUGCUCCUGCUGCUGGAAGAUCAUCUGCAGGCCGUCCUUCACAUGCUUUGGUCACUUUUGGUUUUGGUGGAAAGCUCAUUGUGAUGAAAGAUAAUAGCUCUAUAGAGAGUUCAACAUUUGGAAGUCAGGUUAGUUUGAGAUUUACAUUGUUCUAGUUUUCUUAAUAGUAUUACUUAUAGCUGAAAAAUGUUUUUGUAUUUUGUGUGAAGAAUCCUGUAGGAAGUUCAAUAUCUGUUCUCAACUUAGCAGAAGUUGUCAAUGAGAAAGUUGAUGCUUCAAGCAUUGGAGUGGGUGGUAGUAAUUAUUUGCAGGUUCUCUGUAGACAAUCCUUCCCUGGUCCUCUUACCAGUGGAAGUGUUGGUGUUAAGGAGUUGAACAGAUGGAUUGAUGAGAGGAUAAUGAACUCUGAGUCUCCUGAUACGGAUUACAGGAAGGGCGAAGUUUUGAGGUUGCUUCUGUCAUUGCUUAAGAUAGCCUGUCAGUAUUAUGGAAAACUUAGAUCUCCUUACGGUAGUGAUGCAGCAUUGAAGGUACAUUACAUAUUUGUCCUGUAAAUGCAGUUGCAUUUACUUGAGAUUACUGAAUAUAACUAUCAUUACAUUGGAUCCACUUAAUUAUUUUCAAUAGCUCUAUCCUUUGCGACACAUUCUUGAGUUCUGAUGCACUAAAGAAGCACAAGUCUUGCUCAAUGAUUGGAAAAAACUUCGAUUGACAUGCAUUAAUGUGUCUAAAAGACUUAAAAACAUACUUGAGCCACAAGACUUUGUGAGUAAGAUAUGUUUCUGCUCUAUCUAUCUGAACAAAUUUAAAACUUAUCUGAGGGAAAAUGUCUGAGUUUCUUGAUAUUUCUAAUAUGAUGUCAAGUUGCCUGGGUAAAUAUCACUCUUCCUAUAGUCCUACUAUACAGGGUUUUUUCUUUUCUCUUGGAGAUGCCUUCUUAGCUUGUUGAUUGAGGUAUUGCAUUCACUAAUCUUGUAUUUUUUAUUCUCUUUGUUUUAUUAUUAAAGGAAAGUGAUGUUCCAGAAUCUGCAGUUGCCAAACUCUUUGCAUCUGCUAAGAAGAAUGGUGCACAAUUUAGUCAAUAUGGUGCUGUUUCCCACUGCUUGCAGCAUUUGCCUUCUGAAGGACAACUGCGGGUAUUUGAUUGUUAACCUGCAAGUUGUUUUUUUGUGCAACAUAAUCAUAAUAACUGCCAAUUCAUGUUUUAGGCCUCAGCUGCUGAAGUUCAAAGUCUUCUGGUUUCUGGGAGAAAGAAAGAGGCUUUACAAUAUGCACAAGAGGGUCAAUUGUGGGGUCCUGCCCUAGUUCUUGCUGCACAACUUGGUGAUCAGGUUUGUGAGUGCAAUAACUGUUUACUUUGGCUGGCAAUUUGAAUGGCUUGAAUCAUGCCUUGAUAAAUACAAUAUUUACACUCUUUCCUGUCAAUUUUUGCCUAUAAAAACUGAUUUCCACGGGCCAUUGCAGUUCUACGUUGAAACUGUGAAGCAAAUGGCACUUCGCCAGUUGGUUGCUGGGUCACCUUUGCGAACAUUAUGCCUGCUAAUUGCUGGUCAACCAGCUGAUGUCUUCUCAGCAGAUUCAACUGCUGAUAGUAGUAUGGCUGGUGCUGUAAAUAUGCCUCAUCAACCUGCUCAGGUAUGCAUGAUUGCAUGAAUGUUGCUGUUUAAUAUAUGUUUCCCUUGCUACUGUAUCCUUGAAUAGAUUUCAAGUUAUCACAAAUUAGCAAAAUAAGAACGUUCUUGUUCAUGAGAUUUUUUUGACUCAUCGAGAAAAGAAUAAAAUGCAUUUGGCCUGUUAAUCAGUUAAUCUGCAGCCCUGACUGUAGAUGGUAUUUUUAUAUAUUGCAGGAAAAUUUACUUGAAGAUCCUGUUGAUAG